GGAAUGUGGCUCAAGUGGUAGCGUGCUCGCCUGGCAUGGCGGAGUGCUGGGUUCGAUCCUCAGCACCA
RNAcentral lists this transfer RNA (68 nucleotides) under Marmota monax (woodchuck). Its description in RNAcentral is "tRNA.Ala". Lineage: Eukaryota; Metazoa; Chordata; Mammalia; Rodentia; Sciuridae. The record is from RNAcentral.